Molecule: non-coding RNA, 685 nt
Organism: Phasianus colchicus (ring-necked pheasant)
Lineage: Eukaryota; Metazoa; Chordata; Aves; Galliformes; Phasianidae
Source: RefSeq, a predicted model, not a curated record
UUUUAAAAAAAAAAAAGAGAGAGAGAGGGAGAAACAGUCAGCGAGAAUGCCGGGAACUAAGGGAAGCUGAGAGGGUGCACGCAGCUCCCGGGGCACCUCAGCAGCGACGGAAGGCCCCGGGGAAGGGGGAAUUCCUUACACACGGCUCCACCCCACCGCUUUCUGCCGCACAACAAUGGCAGAGCGAAGCGGUACCUCCCCGCAGCCGCUCAGCACGGGGCCGGAGCGCCGCACGAGCGGAUACGGCGAUGCUCAACGCAGAACGCUGCGGAGCACAGAGCCCCGCACGGCGGCGGGCGGCUCGGGGGAGAGGCAGCACCCCGCGGAGCAGCGCUCGGGGACGGACACCGCAGGACCACGCCGGGCUGGGAGCGGGGGGAGGCGGGGGUGUCAGCCCCUCCCGUUCGCCGUUUAACGAUUCAGGUUUUCUGAUCUUGGAAGGAAUCUCUGACCAUCUGGAUUUGGACUCCGCAAAGGAAAUCAGCCUUCCUGCCUCGGGGAACCUGUUGAAUUUGCAUCCCCUUUGGGCUCCAUCUGAAAUUGAGGGGAGGCUCUUCCAGCUUGCACACAGCUGAAGGAACCAGCCAAAAGCCAUUGGAAAAUGUGUCAGCCCAGCAAUCACAGCACUGGUGCUCAGCAGCUCCUGCCUGGUGCUUUUCCAUUACAUCAAGAGCAAUCAUAAACA